This 520-nucleotide ribosomal RNA is filed under the name uncultured Acaulospora. RNAcentral's name for it is "SSU rRNA". It matches the Rfam family "Eukaryotic small subunit ribosomal RNA", at positions 569 to 1088 of the family's 1831-position model. The record is from RNAcentral. Lineage: Eukaryota; Fungi; Glomeromycota; Glomeromycetes; Diversisporales; Acaulosporaceae.
AGCAGCCGCGGUAAUUCCAGCUCCAAUAGCGUAUAUUAAAGUUGUUGCAGUUAAAAAGCUCGUAGUUGAAUUUCGGAAUUUGUCGGUUGGUCGGGCUUCACUGUCCGCACUGGCCUGAUAGAUUCCUACCUUCUGAAUAACCAGCAUGCUAUUAAUUUAGUGCGUUGGGGAAGCAGAGCUAUUACCUUGAAAAAAUUAGAGUGCUUAAAGCAGGCUUAUGCUUGAAUAGAUUAGCAUGGAAUAAUAAAAUAGGACGGCUUGGUUCUAUUUUGUUGGUUUCUAGGAUCACCGUAAUGAUUAAUAGGGAUAGUUGGGGGCAUUAGUAUUCAAUUGUCAGAGGUGAAAUUCUUGGAUUUAUUGAAGACUAACUUCUGCGAAAGCAUUUGCCAAGGAUGUUUUCAUUAAUCAAGAACGAAAGUUAGGGGAUCGAAGACGAUCAGAUACCGUCGUAGUCUUAACCAUAAACUAUGCCGACUAGGGAUCGGACGAUGUUAAUUUUUUAAUGACUCGUUCGGCGUCC